AUAAGCAGCUAGCUCUCUGCAACUUUCACAUGGUCGCCCACUGAAGCUAAGCAGGACUGAGUACCUGGUCAGUACAUGGAUGGAAGACCACAUGGGAAAACUAGGUUGCUGUUGGUA
This 117-nucleotide ribosomal RNA is filed under the name Danio rerio (zebrafish). The record is from RNAcentral. Lineage: Eukaryota; Metazoa; Chordata; Actinopteri; Cypriniformes; Danionidae.